RNAcentral lists this small nucleolar RNA (127 nucleotides) under Gouania willdenowi (blunt-snouted clingfish). RNAcentral describes it as "Small nucleolar RNA SNORD22 (ENSGWIG00000007784.1)". It matches the Rfam family "Small nucleolar RNA SNORD22". Rfam says of the family: U22 is a member of the C/D class of snoRNA which contain the C (UGAUGA) and D (CUGA) box motifs. U22 is encoded within the U22 snoRNA host gene (UHG) in mammals and has also been identified in Xenopus. Lineage: Eukaryota; Metazoa; Chordata; Actinopteri; Blenniiformes; Gobiesocidae. The record is from Rfam by way of RNAcentral.
CCUUUAUGAUGACUCCCGCAAACGUCUUAUGCUUCGUGUCAACGCCAGAACCUGAAAAGGUGAACCCACUGGUGUUGCCUUGGCAACAAGAGGAUAACUUGUUGGGGUUACCAACUGUCUGAAUGGA